RNAcentral lists this unclassified non-coding RNA (247 nucleotides) under rhizosphere metagenome. Its description in RNAcentral is "partial ribosomal RNA internal transcribed spacer region". The record is from RNAcentral.
GUAGGUGAACCUGCGGAAGGAUCAUUACAAUUCAGUAGCUUGCUACUGUCAGGAGGUGCUGUAAGCCCGCAUAGUUUAAUUACUGAUGAGCGGCAGGCCCUCUGUCUGUACCCUUGUCUUUUGCGCACUCAUGUUUCCUCGGCGGGCUUGCCCGCCGAUUGGGCAAAACUAUAACCUUUUUAAUUUUCAAUCAGCGUCUGAAAAAACUUAAUAAUUACAACCUUCAACAACGGAUCUCUUGGUUCUC